RNAcentral lists this transfer RNA (71 nucleotides) under Marmota monax (woodchuck). RNAcentral describes it as "tRNA.Thr". It matches the Rfam family "tRNA". Rfam says of the family: Transfer RNA (tRNA) molecules are approximately 80 nucleotides in length. Their secondary structure includes four short double-helical elements and three loops (D, anti-codon, and T loops). Lineage: Eukaryota; Metazoa; Chordata; Mammalia; Rodentia; Sciuridae. The record is from RNAcentral.
GGGGUUGUGGCUCAGAGGUAGAGCGCUCGCCUAGUAUGCGGGAGGCACUGGGUUUGAUCCUCAGCACCACA